AAGGUGAUUGCCUCAUAUUUCCAAAUUAUCUCCAAGCCCCAAACAUGAUGAAGGCUCAAAGUAUGACAGAAAAAGCAACCUCAAGUGCCCGAAGGAUCUUUUGCUGAAGACUGGUAAUUUUAGAGCAAAUGAAUAGACCAUUUUAUUAAUAAAAAUCAGGCAGUCUGCUGUACCCCUAAUAUUUUGCAAUAUUGACUUCAUAUAUUUUUUAAAUUUGAAAAAAAUUAAGACAUACAAAGUUUUCUAAUUGAUAAUGUAUGAUAUAGGUGGUAAUUCCUCUGAGAGCUAUGGGACUUCUGACACGCAGGAUGUGCUCAUUAGCAAAUGUUUGCCUUGUUAGAUUUAUUAUUUACUUCUAUUUGUAUUUAAAUAUGUUUCUGUUUAUCUUUUGGGUGGUGAAAUGUCAUUGAGAUUAAAAAGAAAAACACAGUGUUCUGUGUAUGAGACCAG
Molecule: long non-coding RNA, 450 nt
Filed under: Homo sapiens (human)
Lineage: Eukaryota; Metazoa; Chordata; Mammalia; Primates; Hominidae
Description: HSALNT0121628
Source: RNAcentral